AGAGUUUGAUCCUGGCUCAGGACGAACGCUGGCGGUGCGCUUAAUGCAUGCAAGUCGAACGGGCAAAGGGGCUUCGGCCUCGGCGCUAGUGGCAGACGGCUGAGUAACACGUAAGUGAUCUGCCCCGGAGAGGGGGAUAACCCGGAGAAAUCCGGCCUAAUACCCCAUACGUUCAUGUGGUUAUGGCCAUGUGAAGAAAGGUUUACGUCGCUCUGGGAGGAGCUUGCGGCCUAUCAGGUAGUUGGUGGGGUAAAGGCCUACCAAGCCGAAGACGGGUAACCGAUGUGAGAGCAUGAUCGGUCAGAGGGGGACUGAGACACGGCCCCCACUCCUACGGGAGGCAGCAGCAGGGAAUCUUGCGCAAUGGGCGAAAGCCUGACGCAGCGACACCGCGUGGGGGAAGAAGGCCUCAGGGUUGUAAACCCCUUUUCUGUGGGAAGAGAUAGGACGGUACCACAGGAAUAAGCAUCGGCUAACUACGUGCCAGCAGCCGCGGUAAUACGGAGGGGGCGAGCGUUAUUCGGAAUUACUGGGCGUAAAGCGCACGCAGGUGGCUGGGUCAGUCGGUUGUGAAAUCCCCGGGCUUAACUUGGGAAUUGCGAUCGAAACUGCCCGGCUAGAGUAUGGGAGAGGGAAGUGGAAUUCCCGGUGUAGCGGUGAAAUGCAUAGAUAUCGGGAGGAACACCAGUGGCGAAGGCGGCUUCCUGGCCCAAUACUGACACUCAGGUGCGAAAGCGUGGGGAGCAAACAGGAUUAGAUACCCUGGUAGUCCACGCCGUAAACGAUGAGAACUAGAUGUCGGGGGGGAUUGGCCCCUCGGUGUCGCAGCUAACGCAUUAAGUUCUCCGCCUGGGGAGUACGCCGGCAACGGUAAAACUCAAAGGAAUUGACGGGGACCCGCACAAGCGGUGGAGCAUGUGGUUUAAUUCGAUGCAACGCGAAGAACCUUACCUGCCCUUGACAUCCUCGGAACUUGGCAGAGAUGCCUUGGUGCCUUCGGGAACCGAGUGACAGGUGCUGCAUGGCUGUCGUCAGCUCGUG
RNAcentral lists this ribosomal RNA (1041 nucleotides) under uncultured bacterium. Its description in RNAcentral is "bacterial SSU rRNA". It matches the Rfam family "Bacterial small subunit ribosomal RNA", at positions 8 to 1064 of the family's 1533-position model. The record is from RNAcentral.